AGGAUGAACGCUGGCGGCGUGCCUAACACAUGCAAGUCGAACGUCCUGUCUCGCAAGAGGCAGGGAGUGGCGGACGGGUGAGUACCACGUGGGUCAUCUACCGUGAGGUGAGGAAUACCGGCGAGAAAUCGCCGACAAGACCGCAUAGCCUCGGUGCAAGCCGAGGAAAGCUCUCUCGAGAGAGGGAGCGCCACACGAGGAGCCUGCGCCCGAUUAGCUAGCUGGUGGAGUAACGGUUCACCAGGGCGACGAUCGGUAGCUGGUCUGAGAGGACGAUCAGCCACACUGGGAUUGAGAACGGCCCAGACUCCUACGGGGGGCAGCAGUGAGGAAUUUUCGCAAUGGGGCAACCCUGAACGAGCAACGCCGCGUGCAGGAAGAAGGUUUUCGGAUCGUAAAACUGCUUUUCUCGGGGAAGAGAACGGACGGUACCCGAGGAAUCAGCCCCGGCUAACUACGUGCCAGCAGCCGC
RNAcentral lists this ribosomal RNA (472 nucleotides) under uncultured bacterium. RNAcentral describes it as "SSU rRNA". It matches the Rfam family "Bacterial small subunit ribosomal RNA", at positions 26 to 518 of the family's 1533-position model. The record is from RNAcentral.